Long non-coding RNA from Gallus gallus (chicken), 1119 nucleotides. RefSeq lists it as uncharacterized. The record is from RefSeq and is a predicted model, not a curated record. Lineage: Eukaryota; Metazoa; Chordata; Aves; Galliformes; Phasianidae. The transcript has 3 exons.
UCAACCCAGGCCAUUCUAUGGUGAUUCUUGCUAAAAAAAGCAACCUGUCCCAGUAUGCCCCAGUCCCACCCAGUAUCAAAAUGGGCCCUCAUCUCAUUCCCAUCCUCGUUACAACCAGACCCUCUCAGUACUUCCCAAUCUUUCCUCCUCAGUCCCAUGGAAAAUCUCCAGAAGUAUUUAAAUGUUCCAAACCUUGGUGCAAUGCUUAGCAAGGAAGAAGGGACAGAAAUCAUGUGCUUAGUUUGCAGUUUAUACAGUUAUGCAGAAAAUCUCCAGAACUGUUUCAAUGUCUCAACUACUGUCACACUACUUAGCUGCAAAGAAGGAACGGAAAUUGUGUGCUGAAUUUGCAGUCUGAAUUAGGGAACCAAAAAUGCUUGUCAAGGAGGGAGCAGAAUACAUCGGAGGAUGGACAGCCCUAUAUACAGACUUAGGCAAGUUCCCUUAUUGCAAGAGAUGCCGAAGUGACUAACAUGGAAAGGGACAAGGUUUCUCUGUCUCCAUACCCAAUGAGAGGGAAGAAUGCCACCCUUUCCCCUCCCACACAUUCACAAAUGCUGAAUCCCACCUAUUCCCAUCUCACAUACCACCUAUGGAUACACAUAUGAAACAUCCCCUUUUUGCAACAAACAAAAAGGAUUACGACUCAGUGGUCAAGUAUGCACCUGCCAUCCGAAUAUUACCAGACCAGAGACUACGCUGGAAACAAAGGUUCCCUUUCAGGAGUUCUGCUGACAGGCAGAAGUGAUUUUGAAAUCUCACACACCCCGAUCUGAUGGAGCUGCAGCAACCCCCAGUAUCAACAUGGGUCCUCAUAUCAUCGUUACCCCACCCCCAUCUCCUUACAAUCAUACCGUCCCUGUAUGUCCCACUCCCCCCCAGUAAUAAACACGGGCACUGAGCUCAUCGCCAUCCCUAUCCCAUUACAGCCAGACUGCCCCUGUACGCCCCACCCCCGCAGUACCAACAUGGGCCCUCAUCUCACCCCCUCCCCCGUUACAACCAGACCCGCCCAGUUUGUACCUAAUAUCAACAUCGCCCCUCUCACCUCAUUGCUCCCACCCCAACACUACAACCAGACCCUCCCAGUAUAAAUUUUAUCCUUUAAAACCGCUCCCC